RNAcentral lists this ribosomal RNA (689 nucleotides) under Streptomyces sp. YIM 56097. RNAcentral's name for it is "bacterial SSU rRNA". It matches the Rfam family "Bacterial small subunit ribosomal RNA", at positions 57 to 763 of the family's 1533-position model. The record is from RNAcentral. Lineage: Bacteria; Bacillati; Actinomycetota; Actinomycetes; Kitasatosporales; Streptomycetaceae.
GCAAGUCGAACGAUGAAGCCCUUCGGGGUGGAUUAGUGGCGAACGGGUGAGUAACACGUGGGCAAUCUGCCCUUCACUCUGGGACAAGCCCUGGAAACGGGGUCUAAUACCGGAUAACACUCUGUCCCUCAUGGGGCGGGGUUAAAAGCUCCGGCGGUGAAGGAUGAGCCCGCGGCCUAUCAGCUUGUUGGUGGGGUAAUGGCCUACCAAGGCGACGACGGGUAGCCGGCCUGAGAGGGCGACCGGCCACACUGGGACUGAGACACGGCCCAGACUCCUACGGGAGGCAGCAGUGGGGAAUAUUGCACAAUGGGCGAAAGCCUGAUGCAGCGACGCCGCGUGAGGGAUGACGGCCUUCGGGUUGUAAACCUCUUUCAGCAGGGAAGAAGCGAAAGUGACGGUACCUGCAGAAGAAGCACCGGCUAACUACGUGCCAGCAGCCGCGGUAAUACGUAGGGUGCGAGCGUUGUCCGGAAUUAUUGGGCGUAAAGAGCUCGUAGGCGGCUUGUCACGUCGGAUGUGAAAGCUCGGGGCUUAACCCCGAGUCUGCAUUCGAUACGGGCUAGCUAGAGUGUGGUAGGGGAGAUCGGAAUUCCUGGUGUAGCGGUGAAAUGCGCAGAUAUCAGGAGGAACACCGGUGGCGAAGGCGGAUCUCUGGGCCAUUACUGACGCUGAGGAGCGAAAGCGUG